GUUCCCCUACGGGGGGCAGCAGUGGGGAAUAUUGCGCAAUGGGCGAAAGCCUGACGCAGCGACGCCGCGUGAGGAAUGAAGGUCUUCGGAUCGUAAACCUCUGUCAGCAGGGAAGAACGGUCACUGUGCUAAUCAGCAGUGAAUUGACGGUACCUGCAAAGGAAGCACCGGCUAACUCCGUGCCAGCAGCCGCGGUAAUACGGAGGGUGCGAGCGUUAAUCGGAAUUACUGGGCGUAAAGCUCUCGUAGGCGGUAUGUCAAGUCAAGGUUUAACUCCCCGCGCUCAACGUGGGACCUGCCUUUGA
RNAcentral lists this ribosomal RNA (305 nucleotides) under uncultured bacterium. Its description in RNAcentral is "bacterial SSU rRNA". It matches the Rfam family "Bacterial small subunit ribosomal RNA", at positions 333 to 630 of the family's 1533-position model. The record is from RNAcentral.